This 493-nucleotide long non-coding RNA is filed under the name Bos taurus (domestic cattle). RNAcentral's name for it is "long non-coding RNA NONBTAT010823". The record is from RNAcentral. Lineage: Eukaryota; Metazoa; Chordata; Mammalia; Artiodactyla; Bovidae.
UGUAAAUUGAAAAUUUACAUGUAAAUUUGCACCUCAAAAAGGCCUAGCAUAUUCUAAUUUAAAUUCACUUAACUUAAAUAGUGACAGAUUAUGGUUGUUUGCAAUAUGAUCAAUUUAAUCAAAAACUGCAUAGAACUACCAGAGAGAUUUGCCUAUAUUAGUAGACCAAAAGAUUGGGUUGCAAACCCAGUCAUUGAAAUUUUAAGUAUUGAAGAAAUUCUAGAAAAUAAACAGCUGAUAAAUGAAUGAAUUUUAAGUUUGAGUAAAUAUAAGACCUAGUACAAUUUCAGAGUACUAAACUUAUUGUCAUCAUAAUGUAACCUUAAGUAGAGAAAAAGGAAGGGACAAUUUUGGUAUGAUGAUUUAAUAAUAGACCAAUACAAUUUUCUCUAAGUAGAGAAAUAAAAAUAUUUAAAUGCACCUCAAGUUUUUGUAAUAUGCAUUUUAAAUCUUAACAUUGUACAAGCACUUUGAGCCAGCAAUUCCAUUUUUC